AAUGAACGCUGGCGGCAUGCCUUACACAUGCAAGUCGAACGGCAGCAUGACCUAGCUUGCUAGGUUGAUGGCGAGUGGCGAACGGGUGAGUAAUGCAUCGGAACGUGCCGUUUAGUGGGGGAUAACGUAGCGAAAGUUACGCUAAUACCGCAUAUUCUCUGAGGAGGAAAGCAGGGGACCUUCGGGCCUUGCGCUAGAAGAGCGGCCGAUGUCGGAUUAGCUAGUUGGUGAGGUAAAGGCUCACCAAGGCAACGAUCCGUAGCGGGUCUGAGAGGAUGAUCCGCCACACUGGGACUGAGACACGGCCCAGACUCCUACGGGAGGCAGCAGUGGGGAAUUUUGGACAAUGGGCGCAAGCCUGAUCCAGCCAUGCCGCGUGAGUGAAGAAGGCCUUCGGGUUGUAAAGCUCUUUCGGCUGGGAAGAAAUCGCACCCUCUAAUACAGGGUGUGGAUGACGGUACCAGCAUAAGAAGCACCGGCUAACUACGUG
Molecule: ribosomal RNA, 490 nt
Filed under: uncultured bacterium
Lineage: Bacteria
Description: partial 16S ribosomal RNA
Rfam family: Bacterial small subunit ribosomal RNA
Source: RNAcentral